CAGAGCCUGCGGCCCCAGCGCCGUGCGGCCGAGAGAGCCCAGCCGAGGGCCCGGGGCGUGCUGAGCGGCUCGGGGCCCCGCACGGUGCCAGCCGCGGCCGUGGCUGCCCUCACAGCAGGCCUGAAUGGCAGCUGCGGCACUCAGCGGCUGCUGACGGCUCUGGCCCCAGGGAGACCCCACGGCCUCAGGCUCCCUCAUUAGCGUAACCCGCCCUUAAUUACCGGGGCUGGGGAAACGGUUUGGUGCAAGGGCUGAGCUCCCCCAGCUGCCUCUGCUGCCUUCAGUCUCUUACCUGGAGACAGGAAAGGGAGGGGAGCAGAGGCAGAGGCUGCAGGGGACUGGCACCGAGCGAGGCUCAGGGCUCAGGGCUGGCACUCUCCUGGCAGCAGCAGAUGAGAGCAGUGCUGAGCCCGGGCCCUUUUUUGGCUCCUCUCCCUGCCACCCCACGGCUGCUCUGAAACACCUGUCUCUUGUGUACUGGAGAAGGAAUGGUGUGUGUGCCAUCCUGUGCUGGCUUUGCUGCCAUCCUCAGCAUCCUCCACUGGAAGGUCAGGAGUGCUGUGCUCUGCCCAGAGUGCAGCUUGUCUGAUCUGAACAGACCAGUGAUCUCCUCAGCUGUGCUCCUGAGAGGGAAGUUCUUCAUUAUCCACAGAGAAUUUUUCUUUUGA
Long non-coding RNA from Pogoniulus pusillus (Red-fronted tinkerbird), 668 nucleotides. RefSeq lists it as uncharacterized. The transcript has 2 exons. The record is from RefSeq and is a predicted model, not a curated record. Lineage: Eukaryota; Metazoa; Chordata; Aves; Piciformes; Lybiidae.